This 1299-nucleotide ribosomal RNA is filed under the name metagenome. RNAcentral describes it as "bacterial LSU rRNA". It matches the Rfam family "Bacterial large subunit ribosomal RNA", at positions 1633 to 2925 of the family's 2925-position model. The record is from RNAcentral.
CUUACACGACCGUACCGCAAACCGACACUGGUGCGCGAGAUGAGUAUUCUAAGGCGCUUGAGAGAACUCAGGAGAAGGAACUCGGCAAAUUGACACCGUAACUUCGGAAGAAGGUGUGCCUUUAGUAGGUGAACCUGUACAAGGGGAGCCCAAUGAGGUUGCAAAAAAUCGGUGGCUGCGACUGUUUAAUAAAAACACAGCACUCUGCAAACACGAAAGUGGACGUAUAGGGUGUGACGCCUGCCCGGUGCUGGAAGAUUAAAUGAUGGGGUGCAAGCUCUUGAUUGAAGUCCCAGUAAACGGCGGCCGUAACAAUAACGGUCCUAAGGUAGCGAAAUUCCUUGUCGGGUAAGUUCCGACCUGCACGAAUGGCGUAACGAUGGCCACACUGUCUCCUCCUGAGACUCAGCGAAGUUGAAAUGUUUGUGAUGAUGCAAUCUCCCCGCGGAAAGACGGAAAGACCCCAUGAACCUUUACUGUAGCUUUGUAUUGGACUUUGAACAGAUCUGUGUAGGAUAGGUGGGAGGCUUUGAAGUGUGGUCGCUAGAUCGCAUGGAGCCAACGUUGAAAUACCACCCUGGUGUGUUUGAGGUUCUAACCUAGGCCCGUAAUCCGGGUCGGGGACAGUGCAUGGUAGGCAGUUUGACUGGGGCGGUCUCCUCCCAAAGCGUAACGGAGGAGUUCGAAGGUACGCUAGGUACGGUCGGACAUCGUGCUAAUAGUGCAAUGGCAUAAGCGUGCUUAACUGCGAGACUGACAAGUCGAGCAGAUGCGAAAGCAGGACAUAGUGAUCCGGUGGUUCUGUAUGGAAGGGCCAUCGCUCAACGGAUAAAAGGUACUCUGGAUAACAGGCUGAUACCGCCCAAGAGUUCAUAUCGACGGCGGUGUUUGGCACCUCGAUGUCGGCUCAUCUCAUCCUGGGGCUGUAGCCGGUCCCAAGGGUAUGGCUGUUCGCCAUUUAAAGAGGUACGUGAGCUGGGUUUAAAACGUCGUGAGACAGUUUGGUCCCUAUCUUCCGUGGGCGCUGCAGAUUUGAGGAAGCCUGCUCCUAGUACGAGAGGACCGGAGUGGACACACCUCUGGUGUAUCGGUUGUCACGCCAGUGGCAUUGCCGAGUAGCUAUGUGUGGAAGAGAUAACCGCUGAAAGCAUCUAAGCGGGAAACUCGUUUCAAGAUGAGAUCUGCCGGGGCCUUGAGCCCCCUAAAGAGUCGUUCAAGACCAGGACGUUGAUAGGUCGGGUGUGGAAGCGCAGUAAUGCGUUAAGCUAACCGAUACUAAUUGCUCGUGCGGCUUGACCA